This 320-nucleotide ribosomal RNA is filed under the name uncultured bacterium. Its description in RNAcentral is "bacterial SSU rRNA". It matches the Rfam family "Bacterial small subunit ribosomal RNA", at positions 50 to 398 of the family's 1533-position model. The record is from RNAcentral.
AACACAUGCAAGUCGAACGAGAUCUUCGGAUCUAGUGGCGCACGGGUGCGUAACGCGUGGGAAUCUGCCCUUGGGUUCGGAAUAACAGUUAGAAAUGACUGCUAAUACCGGAUGAAGUCUACGGACCAAAGAUUUAUCGCCCAGGGAUGAGCCCGCGUAGGAUUAGCUAGUUGGUGGGGUAAAGGCCUACCAAGGCGACGAUCCUUAGCUGGUCUGAGAGGAUGAUCAGCCACACUGGGACUGAGACACGGCCCAGACUCCUACGGGAGGCAGCAGUGGGGAAUAUUGGACAAUGGGGGCAACCCUGAUCCAGCAAUGCC